RNAcentral lists this ribosomal RNA (516 nucleotides) under uncultured bacterium. RNAcentral's name for it is "partial 16S ribosomal RNA". It matches the Rfam family "Bacterial small subunit ribosomal RNA", at positions 28 to 523 of the family's 1533-position model. The record is from RNAcentral.
GACGAACGCUGGCGGCAUGCCUAAUACAUGCAAGUCGAGCGGAGUUGACGAGAAGCUUGCUUCUCUGAUACUUAGCGGCGGACGGGUGAGUAACACGUAGGCAACCUGCCUUUCAGUUUGGGAUAACUUCCGGAAACGGAUGCUAAUACCGAAUACAUCAUCUUCUGGCAUCAGAGAAUGAGGAAAGACGGCGCAAGCUGUCACUGAGAGAUGGGCCUGCGGCGCAUUAGCUAGUUGGUGGGGUAAUGGCUCACCAAGGCGACGAUGCGUAGCCGACCUGAGAGGGUGAACGGCCACACUGGGACUGAGACACGGCCCAGACUCCUACGGGAGGCAGCAGUAGGGAAUCUUCCACAAUGGGCGAAAGCCUGAUGGAGCAAUGCCGCGUGAGUGAUGAAGGUUUUCGGAUCGUAAAGCUCUGUUGCCAGGGAAGAACGUCCGGGUGAGUAACUGCACCCGGAGUGACGGUACCUGAGAAGAAAGCCCCGGCUAACUACGUGCCAGCCGCCGCCGUAA